CGGGGAUCAGGUUACUUAUCGGGAAGGUACCUCUAGGAGAUAGCACCCCUCUAAGCCCUAAAGAGGUCUCUACUGACUAAGUUAAGGGGAAUAUGGCAAUUAAUCGGUUAAUUAUGGAUACCUAAGUAGGCUAGGUGAUUUCAAAAGAUUUGCAUGCUAAACAAGAUCAAAUCACAAAAACAGAGAGUUAGGGUGCGUACCUGAACCGCUCUUCAAGCGCUAUCAUAAAACAUCAGAGUUAGUAUAGAAGUAUAACACACAACAUGUAUUUAAUCAUAGUGAAUCAA
This 287-nucleotide long non-coding RNA is filed under the name Vitis vinifera (wine grape). Its description in RNAcentral is "long non-coding RNA (VVIN_LNC003007)". The record is from RNAcentral. Lineage: Eukaryota; Viridiplantae; Streptophyta; Magnoliopsida; Vitales; Vitaceae.